RNAcentral lists this ribosomal RNA (180 nucleotides) under uncultured Glomeromycotina. RNAcentral describes it as "partial small subunit ribosomal RNA". The stretch from base 89 to 180 matches the Rfam family "Eukaryotic small subunit ribosomal RNA", at positions 735 to 829 of the family's 1831-position model. Lineage: Eukaryota; Fungi; Glomeromycota. The record is from RNAcentral.
GCCCUGGCUGGGUGGUCCGCCUUUCGGCUGGUACUGCUCCGGCUGGGGUUCUCCUUCUGGCGGGCUAGCAUGCCCUUUACUGGGUGUGUUAGUGCGCCAGGACAUUUACUUUGAAAAAAUUAGAGUGUUUAAAGCAGGCCUACGCUUGAAUACAUUAGCAUGGAAUAAUAGAAUAGGACU